RNAcentral lists this small RNA (235 nucleotides) under Robertmurraya massiliosenegalensis. Its description in RNAcentral is "BsrG". It matches the Rfam family "BsrG". From Rfam's summary of the family: bsrE, bsrG and bsrH pair through intermolecular interactions with antisense sRNAs. SR4 interaction with the 3'UTR of bsrG RNA promotes bsrG degradation and inhibits its translation. SR5 also overlaps bsrG from nucleotide 163 to 52 (Rfam overlap check). The record is from RNAcentral. Lineage: Bacteria; Bacillati; Bacillota; Bacilli; Caryophanales; Bacillaceae.
UUAGGAACUCAAGGGUGGUCAGCUCAUCCCCAUAUGAAAGGGGGUGGUGCUGUGACAGUAUUUGAAGCAUUAAUGUUUGCAUGUGCUUUUGCAAGCUUAAUCAUCGCUGUUCUGUCAUUUAACCAAAAAAAAUAACCCACCCUUGAGCUAACCGGCUAAGGUGGAUUAUCCUGUUUAUGCUGAUCCCCUUGAAUAGGACCUGCUAUUGUAUUGACCGUUCGGUGUUACCAGCACC